AACUCAUAACUGAACUACAGGUAAUCUACACACCCAAACAAGUGGAAUAUAUAAAUGGCCAGUGGAAAAUAAAUGAUCACGAGAUUUCGGUCAGUAGCAAUAACUCUACAAGCCAACGCAUAAUAUUAACAACGACAGCUUGAAGCCAGUAAAAUAGUUGUUCCUUGGGCCUUACUUAUAUAGUUAACUUACUUCACCUCUAUAAUGUUCUUUUGUCCUCACAUGAUAAGAGCAUGAUUAAUGGAGAGUUUUUACGGUGGAGAUUUUUAGCAGAAUAUAAUAAAUCGUUUCUUAAUUUUUAACUAAAAAAAGCUAAGAACCGGCUCUUAAAUAAGAGAUUUAAGACAAUGAUUAACCAGUCUCUUAAUUGGGGUUCUUAGCUUUUCUUAGAUUUUAAAAUCUAAGAAAAGCUAAGAACCGUCUCUUAAAUAAGAGAUAUAAGAACCGUCUCUUAACCAAAAAAUGUAAAAAAAAAUAAAAAUAAUAAUAAUAAUAUCAAAUCAUGAGUUAAGAACCCCGACUAAGAGACUGAGGUUAAUCAUAUUUUUUAGUUAAAAGUUAGGAAACCGAUUUUUAUAUUCCGCUAAGAAUCUCGUUCUACUAACCCCUAGUAAUCAUGUUCUAAGAGUUUCAUAUACAAUAGUUGCUUUCUUCUCUUGGGAUUAUAUAUCUUAUAUAUAUAAAGUAGACUUGUGCUCUACCCACAGCCUUCUACGUCACCAAAGACCAUAGGGCAAAAACCGCCACAUGGCAUAUAUAGUUAAACGCUAAUUUCACUUGCGUUGUUUUAUUUGAGCUGUACCGUGUUUUCCAACUGAAUAAAACGAUGAGCUUUGUUUUGGUCUUUCUUAGGAAGCCCAUAUAUUCUAGGGUUAGAUGUAUUAUCACUACGUAAGCUAGAGAAUAAGUCGCGUAGCUCUUCAAUUCUCACGAGUCACGACCUCCGCCAUUCAUCUAUGUAACAGCUACCAUUAACGUAAUUCUGAUACUUUAAGCCAUGCAUUAAUGUCUCUUGCACCACUUCUCCCACUCUCUCUCGAAUUAAAUCAGCCAUGGCAUCCUCCAAGUAACCAACUGAAGCUUCACCUAUAAAUGUCUUUGUUGCUUAAGAUGAACAGACACACCUAAACGAAAUCCCGAAGGUCUCUCUCUAUUAAAUGCCUUCUUUCUAACUCACGAUUUCAAACCCAUGAAACAACACUGGAACCAUCGCCGCUCCAGCUUCGUGAUUUGAUGACUGGCCACUGUAGACAUAUUGUUGUUACGCGUGGAGAGAUCUAAAACUUCCAAGUAACUAAGCUUCAGCCCACCUAAAACUUUCCCAGGAAAAUAUAGGGUCUUGGAAGAGAAGUGAAGAAAUUUCAGGCCGAUGCAAGAACCAAGUCUUGAGAAAGUAGAUAUAUGACAUGAAUAGGGUUCUUCGAUAGAUCCAAGCUGGUGAAUAGAAAAAAAAAGUAAUUGAAACCAGAAACGGUGAGGAACAAGAGAGACAAUGUCAUACCAUUAAAUCAGGUACACAUGUUUUUUGUUGGAGACCGAUCUGGUGAGAGAUUCUUGUCAGGAAGAAUUUUUGGAUCUUAUAACUAAUGAAUUUCUCUGUACAAAUACUGAUAUGGUGAUGUGUUUAUUAUGUGUUGCUGAUGUACUUUCUACUGAACCCAUCGCAAUGACAGUAUCGGAUAAGUGUUUUAAUGGGAAGACUGUUUAGGUUAAUACUCGUGUCAAGUAGACAAAGCCUAAACUCACCUAUACAAAGCCUUUCCGACUAUGACCGAUGAAAAAAAACCUCAAAAAGACGCAAACGUGGAGAAGAAACCACAACUUUCUCUUGUCAAAGAAGAAGAAUAUGAAAACAUCAUUGGCUUCCAUGGUGAAAACUUGGGUCCUAAACAUCAGUAAGCUCGACUGGAGAAGAACACAACUUCCAGGUCAAAAGAUUUUAGAGGAACAUCCACAACACUUUGAUAGACAGGAUGCAUAUGAAUAUAUGGUGAAUUGCAAGAGGUUGCAUCAGGUACAAAGAAGCAAGUGGCAAGCAAAAAAGUUAUAACAAUGGAGGACACCUCAAAGAUGAAUGGUGAAUCUCAGGAAGCUACACAGCCUACACUAAUCAACAAACCUUUAGUUUGUGUUGUUUCUUCAGGGGAGAAAAGACCUUUAACUGUCCCAAAGGGACCAAACUUCAUGUACCUAAGAGCUGUUGUACAAAUAGAGUGGCAUUACUUGUCUAAAAUCUCUGGUUUACUCCACACGGGAGUUUUGUAAUUUGGUUUGAUCUUUGAGAAGUAACAGAAGUGAGUUUUUUUUAGUGUGUAUAAAAAACACAUGCUCAUCGUUAGUAUUAGUGAGCUCAGAGGAGAACUUGUAGUGUUGAAAGCUAAGGAAAACUUGAGAGAUUCUAAGUCUGACACUACAAGAAAACAUAAGCUUAACGAGGGUGGUUUUCGUCGUGAGUUUGUCGUAAAAUAGGCUUUACGAGGAAUUAGCGAGGAAACACGUUUUCUCGUUACUCAUCCGUCGUAACACAUAUUUCCUCGCCAAUUCAUCGUAACUUAGCGAGGAAAAUAUUUCGUCGUAAAGACGAAUUACAUCAUUUCGUCGUAAAGACCACGUAAAUAUUCCACGUAAGGAGGUCGCUAUAUUUCCUCGUAAAUCCCUCGAAACGUGUUCCUCGUAAAC
Long non-coding RNA from Brassica napus (rape), 2679 nucleotides. RefSeq lists it as uncharacterized. Lineage: Eukaryota; Viridiplantae; Streptophyta; Magnoliopsida; Brassicales; Brassicaceae. The transcript is spliced from 4 exons. The record is from RefSeq and is a predicted model, not a curated record.